Molecule: ribosomal RNA, 404 nt
Filed under: Bacillus cereus
Lineage: Bacteria; Bacillati; Bacillota; Bacilli; Caryophanales; Bacillaceae
Description: bacterial SSU rRNA
Rfam family: Bacterial small subunit ribosomal RNA
Source: RNAcentral
CAAGUCGAGCGAAUGGAUUAAGAGCUUGCUCUUUUGACGUUAGCGGCGGACGGGUGAGUAACACGUGGGUAACCUGCCCUUUAGACUGGGAUAACUCCGGGAAACCGGGGCUAAUACCGAAUAAUCUUUUUAACCUCAUGGUGCAAAAUUGAAAGACGGCUUCGGCUGUCACUUAUGGAUGGACCCGCGUCGCAUUAGCUAGUUGGUGAGGUAACGGCUCACCAAGGCAACGAUGCGUAGCCGACCUGAGAGGGUGAUCGGCCACACUGGGACUGAGACACGGCCCAGACUCCUACGGGAGGCAGCAGUAGGGAAUCUUCCGCAAUGGACGAAAGUCUGAUGGAGCAACGCCGCGUGAGUGAAGAAGGCUUUCGGGUCGUAAAACUCUGUUGUUAGGGAAGAAC